RNAcentral lists this unclassified non-coding RNA (320 nucleotides) under Hevea brasiliensis (rubber tree). The record is from RNAcentral. Lineage: Eukaryota; Viridiplantae; Streptophyta; Magnoliopsida; Malpighiales; Euphorbiaceae.
UGAACCAUCAAGCCCUCGAAAGUUAGAUGAUCGCUCAAUGCUAAAUUUAGGAGUACCAUAAUCAACAACUUUAGCCUUAACUUCACAUGGCAAUGCGCAAUUAUCUACCCAUAGAUGCAAAUUCCCAUCCACUAGCCAAAAUGGGAUACUAUCCGCCACUCCAAGACUCAAAAAGUGGGAUUUACCAUCAAGCAGAAGCCCCAAAAAUGGUGUUAAAUCAAUAUCAUAAGAAGGAAGAUCAAAGGCACCUAUUGAAACCACUGGUUCCCAGAACAAAGGAUUGAUUCCUCCUGUGAAAACCACUGGAAAUGGUACCAAAG